AUUGAACGCUGGCGGCAGGCCUAACACAUGCAAGUCGAGCGGCAGAAGGGAGCUUGCUCCUGGAUUCAGCGGGGGACGGGUGAGUAAUGCCUAGGAACCUGCCAGGUAGUUGGGGAUAACGUGCGAAAGCGGGGGCUCAUACCGCAAACGUGCAGAGGGCGAACGGGGGGGAUCAUCGGACCUCACGCCAUUAGGUGAGCCUAGGUCGGAUUAGCUAGUUGGUGGGGUAAAGGCCUACCAAGGCGACGAUCCGUAACUGGUCUGAGAGGAUGAUCAGUCACACUGGAACUGAGACACGGUCCAGACUCCUACGGGAGGCAGCAGUGGGGAAUAUUGGACAAUGGGCGAAAGCCUGAUCCAGCCAUGCCGCGUGUGUGAAGAAGGUCUUCGGAUUGUAAAGCACUUUAAGUUGGGAGGAAGGGCAGUAAGUUAAUACCUUGCUGUUUUGACGUUACCAACAGAAUAAGCACCGGCUAACUUCGUG
RNAcentral lists this ribosomal RNA (484 nucleotides) under uncultured bacterium. Its description in RNAcentral is "partial 16S ribosomal RNA". It matches the Rfam family "Bacterial small subunit ribosomal RNA", at positions 30 to 507 of the family's 1533-position model. The record is from RNAcentral.